Molecule: ribosomal RNA, 3975 nt
Filed under: Triticum aestivum (bread wheat)
Lineage: Eukaryota; Viridiplantae; Streptophyta; Magnoliopsida; Poales; Poaceae
Description: partial small subunit ribosomal RNA
Source: RNAcentral
AUGAAGAAUCUGAAGCUUGUGACCAGGAUCGUGCAGGAGCUCCAGCUCCAUCUCGACGGCGAGACCCUUGUCGUAUCCGCCAUCGACGCCGAGCGCCACCGUGCCUUCUUCGUCUCCUCCGCCAACUUCCUCUAUUCCGUUAAUCUCCUCGCCUCCACCCAGCAACCUCUGCAAUGGAGUAAAACCACUCUAGAUUCAGAUGUGGAGGAGGUUCUUCUUGAGCCUGGAGAUUUCAUAGUUGCCAUGGAUUAUCUAAUGGAGAAGGAGUCUCUACUCCUUGGUUCAGCGGACGGGUGUCUCUUAUUGUAUAAUGUGGAGGAAAGAACAACCGAAGUUGUAGGAAGAUUGGAGGGUGGUGUCAAGACCAUUGCAUCUAGUCCUGAUGGUGCCCUUCUCUCUGUAACAACCGGAUUGGGGCAACUGCUCGUCAUGACACAUGAUUGGGAAGUGCUGUUUGAGACUUCUAUUGACCCUCAAAGUGCUUCUGCAUGCGAGAUCAAUAGUUCUGAUGGUCAGAUCCAAAGUUGUGUCUCUUGGAGGGGCGAUGGAAAACAUUUUGCUACCCUUGGGGGCUUUGAUGGUAACCCCAAAAGGCUUACUAUUUGGGAACGUGAAUCUGGAAAGGUUCAUUCUUCUUCAGACACGAAGAAUUUCAUGGGACAAUCACUAGACUGGAUGCCGAGCGGAGCAAAGGUUGUCACUGCCCAUGACAGGAGAACAGAGGGAAAGUGCCCUCUCAUUGUCUUCUAUGAGAAGAAUGGCUUAGAAAGAAGCCACUUUUCUAUUGAAGAACCAACAGAGGUUGUCAUCCAAGCAUUAAAAUGGAACUGCAACUCUGAACUCCUAGCUGCCCUAGUUUCUUGUGGCCAGUAUGAUGUUAUUAAAAUAUGGUCCUGCAGCAACAAUCACUGGUAUUUGAAACAAGAACUGCGCUACACAAAGAAAGAGGGGGUGAAGUUCUCUUGGGACCCGACAAAACCGCUGCAUCUCAUUUGUUGGACACUGGGAGGUGAGGUCAUUGCGCACAGUUUUGCAUGGACUACUGCUGUCAGUGAAACUUCAGUUGCAUUAGUUAUUGAUGGCCCUCGUAUCCUUAUAACUCCGCUCCAUUUGGGCCUCAUGCCACCCCCUAUGUCUCUGUUCUAUCUUGCAUUUCCUUGUACCGUGAAUGAGGUUUGUUUUGUAUCCAAGAACUCAAAGAACCAUUUGACUGCUUAUCUUUCAAAUGGCAGCUUAUGUGUUGUGGAACUUCCGGCAGCAGAUAAAUGGGAAGAGUUUGAAGGCAAUGGGAUAACUGUUGACCCUUGCCAUUGUGACUUCAGUUUGAAUAACUCUAUGCACCUCACAUGGAUAGAUACACGUACCUUAAUUGGUAUCUGUCGCUGCAGUGAUUACUGUUCUUCAACACCUAUGAAGUCCAGUGAAGCUGGUAACUUAGAAGAAAAACAUGAUUCGCUGUUCUCUGUCAAUGAGAUUAAACUUGUAUGUUCUGAAGACUGUUUGCCAGGUUCAGUGAGUUCAUCUGGUUGGCAAGCUAGAGUAUCAAAGAGAAUGCCUCUGGAGGGUCCUGUUAUUGGAGUCUCCCGAAACCCAGCAAAAGGAGGUUCAGCCUUUAUCCAGUUAAGUGGAGGAAAGAUUGUUGAAUACUGUUCAGAGUUGAGAAUGACUGCACCUAUACAAAGCGGUGAACUUUGUCCUGAUUAUGAUUUUCCAACAUCAUGUCCUUCAAUGACUGCCGUUCCAUGCCAUGAAAAUGGUGUGGUUCGAACCCUUCUGCUUGGACUUGAUGACAGCAGUAAGCUGCACCUGGGCAAAAGGUUAUUGAGCAACAACUGCAGCAGCUUCACAUUCUAUUCCAGUUCUUAUGGAGCUACUGAGCAGGUUGUGACCCACUUGCUUGUGACUACUAAGCAGGAUCUUUUGUUCAUUGUGGACAUCAAUGAGAUUUUCCUAAAAAACGGCCAAGUGACAAUUGAUAGCCAUGUUAACAACCAUCCUCGAGCAAAGCCAAGCAAAGAGCAUAUCACUGUUUGGGAAAAAGGAGCAAAAUUGAUUGGUGUUCUCCAUGGUGAUGAAGCGGCUGUCAUAAUUCAAACAACCCGUGGUAACUUAGAGUGUAUGUACCCUAGAAAGCUGGUCCUUGUUGCAAUUGUUCAGGCACUGGUCCAGAGGCGUUUCAAAGAUGCAAUGGACAUGGUAAGACGCCAUCGAAUAGAUUUCAAUAUGUUGGUUGAUUAUUGUGGAUGGAAAGCUUUUAUCAAGUCAGCAGCAGAUUUUGUUAAAGAAGUCAAUAACCUUAGCCACAUCACUGAAUUUGUUUGCUCAAUUAAGAAUGAGAAUGUCAGCUGCAAAUUGUAUGAGGCGUACAUAUCAUUCCCUGAGCAGUGCUCGAGCUCAAUGGAUAGUGAAAAUCUGCAUGGCGUCUUGUCAGAGAACAAAGUAACAUCUGUACUGAUGGCAAUCAGAAAAGCCCUUGAGGAACAAAUAGAAGAAAGCUCAUCAAGAGAACUGUGCAUACUGACCACUUUGGCGCGUAGCGAACCUCCAUUGUUGGAAGAAGCAUUGAAUAGAAUUAAAGUCAUUCGAGAACUGGAACUUCAUGGGGUUGAUGAUGGCCGACGGAAGCUUUACCCAUCUGCUGAAGAGUCUUUGAAGCACUUGCUUUGGUUAACAGAACCAGAAGCUGUUUUUAAUGCUGCUUUGGGACUGUAUGAUCUGAAUCUUGCUGCUAUAGUUGCUUUAAAUUCCCAAAAAGAUCCAAAGGAGUUCCUUCCUUUUCUUAAGGGUCUUGAAUGCCUACCUCCUGCUAUUAUGAGGUACACAAUAGAUUUGAAACUUGCAAGAUAUGAGAGUGCUCUCAGAAACAUUGUGUCUGCUGGUAAUGAGUAUCAUGCGGACUGCAUGGAACUCCUUAAUUCUAACCCUCAGCUGUUUCCACUGGGCCUCCAGUUAUUUAGUGACCCAGAUAAAAGACAUCAAAUUCUUGAGGCAUGGGGUGACCAUCUUUUUGAAGAGAAAUGCUUUGGAGAAGCUGCAGUAACUUAUCAAUGCUGCUCAUCAUAUCAGAAAUCUUUGAAAGCUUAUCAUGCCUGUGGGGACUGGAGAGGUGUGUUCACUGUUACAGGCCUUCUGAAGUUCACAAAGGAAGAAAUUCUUCAACUAGCACAGGAGCUAUGUGAUGAGUUCCAAGCACUCGGGAAGCCAGGAGAUGCCGCCAAGAUCGCACUGGAGUAUUGUUCAGAUGUUGAUAGAGGUGUAGGCUGCUACAUCAUGGCAAGAGAAUGGGAAGAGGCUCUUAGAGUGGCUUAUAUGCACAGCAGGCAGGAUCUUGUUGAUACUGUUAAAGAUGCAGCUCUGGAGUGCGCUGCAUUGCUGAUAUCUGAGUAUCAGGAAGGAUUGCUGAAGGUGGGUAAAUAUCUAGCACGCUACGUGGCUGUGCGGCAGAGGAGAUUAUCUCUCGCGGCUAAACUACAGUCAGAGGACCGAUUUAUGGAUGUCGAAGACGACAACAUUUCAGAAGUCAGCUCUAGCUUCAGCGAAAUGAGUGCAUACACGACGAGGUCAACAAAGGAAUCGAGCGCUUCUGUCAUAUCUAGCAGCGCCAGCAAGUCACGAGGGUCAAGGCGUCAAAAGAAAGCUGGCAAGAUACGAGCUGGAAGUCCUGGGGAGGAGAUGGCACUUGUGGAGCAUCUCAAGGGGAUGUCUCUGGCCACUGGUGCGCAAAAAGAGCUUAGAAGCCUGCUUGUGGUUCUAACACAGCUGGGAAAAGAAGAUAUCGCCCGUCAGGUGCAGCUGGCUGGAGAUAAUUUUGAGGUAUCGCAGAUGGCCGCAGUGAAGCUGGCGGAGGAUACAAUGUCUACCGACAAGAUGGACGAGAAUGCGCAUACCCUUGAGCAUUACACGAAAAUGCUGAGAGCACAUCAGCCUGUCGCUGGUGAAACCUCCUGGCGAAUCAAUGCUCUGUCGCCGCCUUGA